This 233-nucleotide long non-coding RNA is filed under the name Mytilus galloprovincialis (Mediterranean mussel). The record is from RNAcentral. Lineage: Eukaryota; Metazoa; Mollusca; Bivalvia; Mytilida; Mytilidae.
GUCCUGUCAUUCUCGAUGUUGGUCCUGUCAUUAUCAGAGUUGGUCAUGUCACAUUUUCUAAAGUUUCUUACAAUUUUUUUUAAUUUUUUUUCUUAAAUCUAUUUAUCAAAUGAUAAAAUCUUAUUAUAUUUCAAAUUUGAGAUCAAUCCCUUGAGAAAUGAAAAAGUUAUUAGCAUUUUUCAUUUGGUCCUGUCAUUCGGUCCUGUCAUUCGGUCCAGUCAUUAGUGUAACCC